Molecule: non-coding RNA, 29 nt
Filed under: Mus musculus (house mouse)
Lineage: Eukaryota; Metazoa; Chordata; Mammalia; Rodentia; Muridae
Source: RNAcentral
UAAGGAAUUUCAGUUUGAUUGCCAUAUGU